AUGAGCCCGGGCGAGGGCCGCCAGAGCUGGCUUUUCCUGGUGGGGCCCUCGGAGGGGAAGCAGGUGGCGGGCGGCGCCCCGGCAUGCUCAAGUGCCAGAAAAGAUGCUCAUCAUUCCCGACUCGGCUGUGAGGGCCACAGCGGGAGAAGCUCGGAGCCAGAGCCCUGUCCAGCGUCUCAGGCCCCGGGGAUGGGGGAGCGGCGCGGCAGGCCGUCGGAAUGGCCCCUUCCUCCGGCCCAAGCAAGUGCUAGGAGCGGCUCCCCUCCCGCUGGGCUCCCAGGCUGGGCCGCUGCAUUCAGCACCACAGACUCCCGGACAGCUCCGAAGGGCCGCCCUUUUCUCCGCGGCCGCCCCUUUCUUGCCCCAACCACGCCGGGCGCGAGGGGCGGCCGCCGUGCCAUGGCCGGGAGGGCCGGGAAGCCAGAGCUGCCCCCCUGCUCUGCUUCUCUGGGCUCGGGCAGCUUCGGGCCGGGCUUCUGCUUCGUGGAAGACGCCUUUCCGACCUGCACGUCGCCUCUGAGCUGCAGCCUGGCCCGGGCUCGGGGCCUCACAGCGCCCCCCCGAGGCCACCCAACGGGAGCCCAGUUGGCGAAGUGCCGCCGCCGGGGUCCCCCCGAGCCAGCCCCAGGUAGGGGGCGCCCCAACAAGCCCCUACUAGUACUGGGCGGCGGGAGACGGGGUGGCCCCGGGAAAGCUCUGGCGGCCGAGGCCAGGAGGCUGGGAGAGGACUUGCUGCAUCUGGGCGGCGAGAGGAGGAGGACGGAGGGAGAAGCGUGGAGCAGGAGUCCCGGCUCUCGGGGAGGGCGUUCGUCCCAGGCUAGCUGCGGGGGCCGACAAGCCAGAGGCUGGCGGCGCAUGUGGGCGCGCCCCGCAGCGGGGGUCUCCCUCCCCCUCCCUCCCCACUCCAGGAUCUCAGGGUCCUGCCCGUCAGGCCUCCCACCUCCUUCCUCUAGCCCCGUGCCCGUAGGACCAUGCCAGCCUCCUGGCCUUUGCCCGCGGAGCCCAGUACGGACUGGGGUAGUGAGGACAGAGCCAGACUGA
RNAcentral lists this long non-coding RNA (1041 nucleotides) under Monodelphis domestica (gray short-tailed opossum). RNAcentral's name for it is "lncRNA (ENSMODG00000050227.1)". Lineage: Eukaryota; Metazoa; Chordata; Mammalia; Didelphimorphia; Didelphidae. The record is from RNAcentral.